This 222-nucleotide ribosomal RNA is filed under the name uncultured bacterium. RNAcentral describes it as "partial 16S ribosomal RNA". It matches the Rfam family "Bacterial small subunit ribosomal RNA", at positions 524 to 745 of the family's 1533-position model. The record is from RNAcentral.
UACGGAGGGAGCUAGCGUUGUUCGGAAUUACUGGGCGUAAAGCGCACGUAGGCGGUUAUUCAAGUCAGAGGUGAAAGCCCGGGGCUCAACCCCGGAACUGCCUUUGAAACUAGAUGACUAGAAUCUUGGAGAGGUCAGUGGAAUUCCGAGUGUAGAGGUGAAAUUCGUAGAUAUUCGGAAGAACACCAGUGGCGAAGGCGACUGGCUGGACAAGUAUUGACG